GACGAACGCUGGCGGCGUGCUUAACACAUGCAAGUCGAACGGAAAGGCCCUGCUUUUGUGGGGUGCUCGAGUGGCGAACGGGUGAGUAACACGUGAGUAACCUGCCCUUGACUUUGGGAUAACUUCAGGAAACUGGGGCUAAUACCGGAUAGGAGCUCCUGCUGCAUGGUGGGGGUUGGAAAGUUUCGGCGGUUGGGGAUGGACUCGCGGCUUAUCAGCUUGUUGGUGGGGUAGUGGCUUACCAAGGCUUUGACGGGUAGCCGGCCUGAGAGGGUGACCGGCCACAUUGGGACUGAGAUACGGCCCAGACUCCUACGGGAGGCAGCAGUGGGGAAUAUUGCACAAUGGGCGGAAGCCUGAUGCAGCAACGCCGCGUGCGGGAUGACGGCCUUCGGGUUGUAAACCGCUUUCGCCUGUGACGAAGCGUGAGUGACGGUAAUGGGUAAAGAAGCACCGGCUAACUACGUGCCAGCAGCCGCGGUGAUACGUAGGGUGCGAGCGUUGUCCGGAUUUAUUGGGCGUAAAGGGCUCGUAGGUGGUUGAUCGCGUCGGAAGUGUAAUCUUGGGGCUUAACCCUGAGCGUGCUUUCGAUACGGGUUGACUUGAGGAAGGUAGGGGAGAAUGGAAUUCCUGGUGGAGCGGUGGAAUGCGCAGAUAUCAGGAGGAACACCAGUGGCGAAGGCGGUUCUCUGGGCCUUUCCUGACGCUGAGGAGCGAAAGCGUGGGGAGCGAACAGGCUUAGAUACCCUGGUAGUCCACGCUGUAAACGGUGGGUACUAGGUGUGGGGUCCAUUCCACGGGUUCCGUGCCGUAGCUAACGCUUUAAGUACCCCGCCUGGGGAGUACGGCCGCAAGGCUAAGACUCAAAGGAAUUGACGGGGCCCCGCACAAGCGGCGGAGCAUGCGGAUUAAUUCGAUGCAACGCGUAGAACCUUACCUGGGUUUGACAUGGAUCGGGAGUGCUCAGAGAUGGGUGUGCCUCUUUUGGGGUCGGUUCACAGGUGGUGCAUGCCUGUCGUCAGCUCGUGUCGUGAGAUGUUGGGUUAAGUCCCGCAACGAGCGCAACCCUUGUUCACUGUUGCCAGCACGUUAUGGUGGGGACUCAGUGGAGACCGCCGGGGUCAACUCGGAGGAAGGUGGGGAUGACGUCAAGUCCUCAUGCCCCUUAUGUCCAGGGCUUCACGCAUGCUACAAUGGCUGGUACAGAGAGUGGCGAGCCUGUGAGGGUGAGCGAAUCUCGGAAAGCCGGUCUCAGUUCGGAUUGGGGUCUGCAACUCGACCUCAUGAAGUCGGAGUCGCUAGUAAUCGCAGAUCAGCAACGCUGCGGUGAAUACGUUCCCGGG
This 1343-nucleotide ribosomal RNA is filed under the name uncultured bacterium. Its description in RNAcentral is "16S ribosomal RNA". It matches the Rfam family "Bacterial small subunit ribosomal RNA", at positions 28 to 1378 of the family's 1533-position model. The record is from RNAcentral.